This 497-nucleotide ribosomal RNA is filed under the name uncultured bacterium. RNAcentral describes it as "partial 16S ribosomal RNA". It matches the Rfam family "Bacterial small subunit ribosomal RNA", at positions 28 to 507 of the family's 1533-position model. The record is from RNAcentral.
GAUGAACGCUGGCGGCGUGCCUAAUACAUGCAAGUCGAGCGAACAGACGAGGAGCUUGCUCCUCUGACGUUAGCGGCGGACGGGUGAGUAACACGUGGAUAACCUACCUAUAAGACUGGGAUAACUUCGGGAAACCGGAGCUAAUACCGGAUAAUAUAUUGAACCGCAUGGUUCAAUAGUGAAAGACGGUUUUGCUGUCACUUAUAGAUAGAUCCGCGCCGCAUUAGCUAGUUGGUAAGGUAACGGCUUACCAAGGCAACGAUGCGUAGCCGACCUGAGAGGGUGAUCGGCCACACUGGAACUGAGACACGGUCCAGACUCCUACGGGAGGCAGCAGUAGGGAAUCUUCCGAAAUGGGCGAAAGCCUGACGGAGCAACGCCGCGUGAGUGAUGAAGGUCUUCGGAUCGUAAAACUCUGUUAUUAGGGAAGAACAAAUGUGUAAGUAACUAUGCACGUCUUGACGGUACCUAAUCAGAAAGCCACGGCUAACUACGUG